Megalobrama amblycephala (Wuchang bream) is the source of this 440-nucleotide long non-coding RNA. RefSeq lists it as uncharacterized. The transcript has 4 exons. NCBI's taxonomy places the organism in Eukaryota, Metazoa, Chordata, Actinopteri, Cypriniformes, Xenocyprididae. The record is from RefSeq and is a predicted model, not a curated record.
CGGUUUCUUUCUCAACACUUCACUUAUGACAUAACCGAGAGAAUACUUGCCGAGACAGACUUCUAUAUGGCCAUGUAUGAGCACAGAGAGACACUGACCUGCACUGACAGUGACAGCGCUGACAAACUGUUCUCUCCAGCUACUGCUGCCCACCACAAGCGCCAGCCAUUUGCGUUUUUGCAUUCAGAGGGCUGCAGAUAAUCUUAGAGGGAGUAAUACAGUGUUUCCACCUCAAAUCUCUUCUAAAUCCCUGAGCUACCUGACCCCAGUGACCUUUAGUAUUGAGACUGUCACCAUGGAAACGAGGAGGACUUACCUUAAACUCAUAGGAUUCCUCUAUGACCACCUCCAGUUUGGUGUGCUCUCCCAGACUCGGACACCCCAUCUUGGCCACCUCCUCUUCCUCAGCCCCCACCGCCGGUUUGUUAUCAUUAGAGUCA